UGGGGAGUACGGUCGCAAGAUUAAAACUCAAAGGAAUUGACGGGGGCCCGCACAAGCAGCGGAGCAUGUGGUUUAAUUCGAAGCAACGCGAAGAACCUUACCUAGACUUGACAUCUCCUGAAUUACUCUUAAUCGAGGAAGUCGCUUCGGCGACAGGAAGACAGGUGGUGCAUGGUUGUCGUCAGCUCGUGUCGUGAGAUGUUGGGUUAAGUCCCGCAACGAGCGCAACCCUUAUUGUUAGUUGCUACCAUUUAGUUGAGCACUCUAGCGAGACUGCCGUGGUUAACGCGGAGGAAGGUGGGGAUGACGUCAAAUCAUCAUGCCCCUUAUGUCUAGGGCUACACACGUGCUACAAUGGCUGGUACAAAGAGAUGCAAUACCGCGAGGUGGAGCUAAACUAUAAAACCAGUCUCAGUUCGGAUUGUAGGCUGAAACUCGCCUACAUGAAGCUGGAGUUGCUAGUAAUCGCGAAUCAGAAUGUCGCGGUGAAUACGUUCCCGGGCCUUGUACACACCGCCCGUCACACCAUGAGAGUUGGCAAUACCCAAAGUUCGUGAGCUAACCCGUAAGGGAGGCAGCGACCUAAGGUAGGGUCAGCGAUUGGGGUGAAGUCGUAACAAGGUAGCCGUAGGAGAACCUGCGGCUGGAUCACCUCCUUUCUAUGGAGA
RNAcentral lists this ribosomal RNA (668 nucleotides) under Clostridium botulinum. RNAcentral's name for it is "bacterial SSU rRNA". It matches the Rfam family "Bacterial small subunit ribosomal RNA", at positions 874 to 1533 of the family's 1533-position model. Lineage: Bacteria; Bacillati; Bacillota; Clostridia; Eubacteriales; Clostridiaceae. The record is from RNAcentral.